Molecule: long non-coding RNA, 1536 nt
Filed under: Triticum aestivum (bread wheat)
Lineage: Eukaryota; Viridiplantae; Streptophyta; Magnoliopsida; Poales; Poaceae
Description: long non-coding RNA (TAES_LNC026180)
Source: RNAcentral
CCAUCUCCACUACUAUAAAACAAUCCAACAAUAACUUUCUUAGGUGCACCCCGCAAUUACCCCCAGUAAAACAGCCGACCCAUUCAACACCGCUGGAUUACUCCCACGAAUCUGAAUCUAACAGCCAGAAUUGAUCCAAUACCGCUAUGGUGUGCACGUACCAAUUUCCAUUGACUGACCGUGCUUCACCUGGAGACUAGCGAAGCCUUCGUCCCCAGACAAUCGGGCAACUCCAAUCGCAUCUACUAAGGAAGGACGCAUAUCCUAAGGAAGGAAAGGAAUGAAUUGAUUCUCCUAGCCCAAUCGCGCAGGAGCCUCGCUGCCUUCCGUCACCACCGCGCCAACACCUUCUUCUCCGGCCGCCAACCUCGCGCCACUCCACCGCGCAGCCGCCUCCCUGCACGAUCGACGUAGCGGGCGCCAAGGAGGCUGCCCUGCCCCCUCGCAGUGUGGCACAAGGCUGCUAGAUCGCCAGUGCCCACGACCCCGCCCAGCACCCGCGCGGCCGCCCCCGCCCUGCACAGCCCCUGGACGGCUGGACCAGCUGUGAUUCUUCCCUGCACUCAAGAUUACAGGUUUUCAGAACAGAAGAACAAACAUUAAACAUACAAAAAAGGUAAGAUCGUAAAAGUAAGACAUUCAGAUGCCGUGCAAUUGCACAGCAUUUUACUAUACCUAGGGCACAGGAAAGAUAAAUCACGCCAGUUUACAUCAGUUUAUUAGAUGAAAGCUGAAACUAUCCCAGUUGCCUAUCUAUCACUGCCUCAUGCACUUCUGGGAAGUACAUGAACCCCACCUAAUGUAGCAAUUAUUGAAAGAGUGAUCAGCCAUCCUUUAAUGGCUUGAUUAAAAGAUUGAUCAGUCUGCAGUUUACAAAACCUCUAUUUUUGCUUCAUCCAAUCAUCUCAAAGUAAUCGAGCCCAAAGUUUUUUCAGAAACCAUGGUAUUUUCCUACUUCGUUUAUCUUCUUAUACGCAAUAAUAUACAUGCUAAUCUUCUUAUACACAUAUCUCCACUACUAUAAAACAAUCCAACAAUAACUUUCUUAGGUGCACCCUGCAAUUACCCCCAGCAAAACAGCCGACCCAUUCAACACCGCUGGAUUACUCCCACGAAUCUGAAUCUAACAGCCAGAAUUGAUCCAAUACCGCUAUGGUGUGCACGUACAAAUUUCCAUUGACUGACCGUGCUUCACCUGGAGACUAGCGAAGCCUUCGUCCCCAGACAAUCGGGCAACUCCAAUCGCAUCUACUAAGGAAGGACGCAUAUCCUAAGGAAGGAAAGGAAUGAAUUGAUUCUCCUAGCCCAAUCGCGCAGGAGCCUCGCUGCCUUCCGUCACCACCGCGCCAACACCUUCUUCUCCGGCCGCCAACCUCGCGCCACUCCACCGCGCAGCCGCCUCCCUGCACGAUCGACGUAGCGGGCGCCAAGGAGGCUGCCCUGCCCCCUCGCAGUGUGGCACAAGGCUGCUAGAUCGCCAGUGCCCACGACCCCGCCCAGCACCCGCGCGGCCGCCCCCGCCCUGCACAGCCCCUG